ACGCGUGGGAACGUGCCCUUUGGUACGGGAUAACAUCUGGAAACGGGUGCUAAUACCGUAUAAGCCAAUUUAUUGGGAAAGAUUUAUCGCCGAAGGAUCGGCCCGCGUAAGAUUAGGUAGUUGGUGAGGUAACGGCUCACCAAGCCUACGAUCUUUAGCUGGUCUGAGAGGAUGAUCAGCCACACUGGGACUGAGACACGGCCCAGACUCCUACGGGAGGCAGCAGUGGGGAAUAUUGGACAAUGGGCGCAAGCCUGAUCCAGCCAUGCCGCGUGAGUGAAGAAGGCCUUAGGGUUGUAAAACUCUUUCACCGGUGAAGAUAAUGACGGUAACCGGAAAAGAAGCCCCGGCUAACUCCGUGCCAGCAGCCGCGGUAAUACGGAGGGGGCUAGCGUUGUUCGGAAUCACUGGGCGUAAAGCGCGCGUAGGCGGUUUGAUAAGUUGGGCGUGAAAUCCCGGGGCUCAACCC
This 469-nucleotide ribosomal RNA is filed under the name uncultured bacterium. Its description in RNAcentral is "bacterial SSU rRNA". It matches the Rfam family "Bacterial small subunit ribosomal RNA", at positions 113 to 615 of the family's 1533-position model. The record is from RNAcentral.